GACGAACGCUGGCGGCGUGCUUAACACAUGCAAGUCGAACGGUGAAGCGCCUUCCUUUUUGGUGGGUGUGGAUGAGUGGCGAACGGGUGAGUAACACGUGAGUAACCUGCCCCCUUCUUCUGGAUAACCGCAUGAAAGUGUGGCUAAUACGGGAUAUUCUGGGUCUGUCGCAUGAUGGGUCUGGGAAAGAUAUUGUUUCGGUGGGGGAUGGGCUCGCGGCCUAUCAGCUUGUUGGUGGGGUGAUGGCCUACCAAGGCGGUGACGGGUAGCCGGCCUGAGAGGGUGGACGGUCACACUGGGACUGAGACACGGCCCAGACUGCUACGGGAGGCAGCAGUGGGGAAUAUGGAACAAUGGGCGAAAGCCUGAUGCAGCGACGCCGCGUGAGGGAUGGAGGCCUUCGGGUUGUGAACCUCUUUCGCCAGUGAAGCAGGCCUGCCUCGUUUGUGGGUGGGUUGACGGUAGCUGGAUAAGAAGCGCCGGCUAACUACGUG
This 494-nucleotide ribosomal RNA is filed under the name uncultured bacterium. RNAcentral describes it as "partial 16S ribosomal RNA". It matches the Rfam family "Bacterial small subunit ribosomal RNA", at positions 28 to 507 of the family's 1533-position model. The record is from RNAcentral.